RNAcentral lists this ribosomal RNA (2921 nucleotides) under Staphylococcus aureus. Its description in RNAcentral is "23S ribosomal RNA". It matches the Rfam family "Bacterial large subunit ribosomal RNA". Lineage: Bacteria; Bacillati; Bacillota; Bacilli; Caryophanales; Staphylococcaceae. The record is from RNAcentral.
UUAAGUUAUUAAGGGCGCACGGUGGAUGCCUUGGCACUAGAAGCCGAUGAAGGACGUUACUAACGACGAUAUGCUUUGGGGAGCUGUAAGUAAGCUUUGAUCCAGAGAUUUCCGAAUGGGGAAACCCAGCAUGAGUUAUGUCAUGUUAUCGAUAUGUGAAUACAUAGCAUAUCAGAAGGCACACCCGGAGAACUGAAACAUCUUAGUACCCGGAGGAAGAGAAAGAAAAUUCGAUUCCCUUAGUAGCGGCGAGCGAAACGGGAAGAGCCCAAACCAACAAGCUUGCUUGUUGGGGUUGUAGGACACUCUAUACGGAGUUACAAAGGACGACAUUAGACGAAUCAUCUGGAAAGAUGAAUCAAAGAAGGUAAUAAUCCUGUAGUCGAAAAUGUUGUCUCUCUUGAGUGGAUCCUGAGUACGACGGAGCACGUGAAAUUCCGUCGGAAUCUGGGAGGACCAUCUCCUAAGGCUAAAUACUCUCUAGUGACCGAUAGUGAACCAGUACCGUGAGGGAAAGGUGAAAAGCACCCCGGAAGGGGAGUGAAAUAGAACCUGAAACCGUGUGCUUACAAGUAGUCAGAGCCCGUUAAUGGGUGAUGGCGUGCCUUUUGUAGAAUGAACCGGCGAGUUACGAUUUGAUGCAAGGUUAAGCAGUAAAUGUGGAGCCGUAGCGAAAGCGAGUCUGAAUAGGGCGUUUAGUAUUUGGUCGUAGACCCGAAACCAGGUGAUCUACCCUUGGUCAGGUUGAAGUUCAGGUAACACUGAAUGGAGGACCGAACCGACUUACGUUGAAAAGUGAGCGGAUGAACUGAGGGUAGCGGAGAAAUUCCAAUCGAACCUGGAGAUAGCUGGUUCUCUCCGAAAUAGCUUUAGGGCUAGCCUCAAGUGAUGAUUAUUGGAGGUAGAGCACUGUUUGGACGAGGGGCCCCUCUCGGGUUACCGAAUUCAGACAAACUCCGAAUGCCAAUUAAUUUAACUUGGGAGUCAGAACAUGGGUGAUAAGGUCCGUGUUCGAAAGGGAAACAGCCCAGACCACCAGCUAAGGUCCCAAAAUAUAUGUUAAGUGGAAAAGGAUGUGGCGUUGCCCAGACAACUAGGAUGUUGGCUUAGAAGCAGCCAUCAUUUAAAGAGUGCGUAAUAGCUCACUAGUCGAGUGACACUGCGCCGAAAAUGUACCGGGGCUAAACAUAUUACCGAAGCUGUGGAUUGUCCUUUGGACAAUGGUAGGAGAGCGUUCUAAGGGCGUUGAAGCAUGAUCGUAAGNACAUGUGGAGCGCUUAGAAGUGAGAAUGCCGGUGUGAGUAGCGAAAGACGGGUGAGAAUCCCGUCCACCGAUUGACUAAGGUUUCCAGAGGAAGGCUCGUCCGCUCUGGGUUAGUCGGGUCCUAAGCUGAGGCCGACAGGCGUAGGCGAUGGAUAACAGGUUGAUAUUCCUGUACCACCUAUAAUCGUUUUAAUCGAUGGGGGGACGCAGUAGGAUAGGCGAAGCGUGCGAUUGGAUUGCACGUCUAAGCAGUAAGGCUGAGUAUUAGGCAAAUCCGGUACUCGUUAAGGCUGAGCUGUGAUGGGGAGAAGACAUUGUGUCUUCGAGUCGUUGAUUUCACACUGCCGAGAAAAGCCUCUAGAUAGAAAAUAGGUGCCCGUACCGCAAACCGACACAGGUAGUCAAGAUGAGAAUUCUAAGGUGAGCGAGCGAACUCUCGUUAAGGAACUCGGCAAAAUGACCCCGUAACUUCGGGAGAAGGGGUGCUCUUUAGGGUUAACGCCCAGAAGAGCCGCAGUGAAUAGGCCCAAGCGACUGUUUAUCAAAAACACAGGUCUCUGCUAAACCGUAAGGUGAUGUAUAGGGGCUGACGCCUGCCCGGUGCUGGAAGGUUAAGAGGAGUGGUUAGCUUCUGCGAAGCUACGAAUCGAAGCCCCAGUAAACGGCGGCCGUAACUAUAACGGUCCUAAGGUAGCGAAAUUCCUUGUCGGGUAAGUUCCGACCCGCACGAAAGGCGUAACGAUUUGGGCACUGUCUCAACGAGAGACUCGGUGAAAUCAUAGUACCUGUGAAGAUGCAGGUUACCCGCGACAGGACGGAAAGACCCCGUGGAGCUUUACUGUAGCCUGAUAUUGAAAUUCGGCACAGCUUGUACAGGAUAGGUAGGAGCCUUUGAAACGUGAGCGCUAGCUUACGUGGAGGCGCUGGUGGGAUACUACCCUAGCUGUGUUGGCUUUCUAACCCGCACCACUUAUCGUGGUGGGAGACAGUGUCAGGCGGGCAGUUUGACUGGGGCGGUCGCCUCCUAAAAGGUAACGGAGGCGCUCAAAGGUUCCCUCAGAAUGGUUGGAAAUCAUUCAUAGAGUGUAAAGGCAUAAGGGAGCUUGACUGCGAGACCUACAAGUCGAGCAGGGUCGAAAGACGGACUUAGUGAUCCGGUGGUUCCGCAUGGAAGGGCCAUCGCUCAACGGAUAAAAGCUACCCCGGGGAUAACAGGCUUAUCUCCCCCAAGAGUUCACAUCGACGGGGAGGUUUGGCACCUCGAUGUCGGCUCAUCGCAUCCUGGGGCUGUAGUCGGUCCCAAGGGUUGGGCUGUUCGCCCAUUAAAGCGGUACGCGAGCUGGGUUCAGAACGUCGUGAGACAGUUCGGUCCCUAUCCGUCGUGGGCGUAGGAAAUUUGAGAGGAGCUGUCCUUAGUACGAGAGGACCGGGAUGGACAUACCUCUGGUGUACCAGUUGUCGUGCCAACGGCAUAGCUGGGUAGCUAUGUGUGGACGGGAUAAGUGCUGAAAGCAUCUAAGCAUGAAGCCCCCCUCAAGAUGAGAUUUCCCAACUUCGGUUAUAAGAUCCCUCAAAGAUGAUGAGGUUAAUAGGUUCGAGGUGGAAGCAUGGUGACAUGUGGAGCUGACGAAUACUAAUCGAUCGAAGACUUAAUCAA